UGGGGGAUAUUGCACAAUGGGGGGAAGCCCUGAUGCAGCGACGCCGCGUGAGGGAAGAAGGUUUUCGGAUUGUAAACCUCUGUCUUUGGGGAAGAAAGAAUGACGGUACCCAAGGAGGAAGCUCCGGCUAACUACGUGCCAGCAGCCGCGGUAAUACGUAGGGAGCAAGCGUUGUCCGGAAUUACUGGGUGUAAAGGGAGCGUAGGCGGGCGAGCAAGUUGAAUGUGAAAUGUAUGGGCUCAACCCAUAAACUGCGUUCAAAACUGCACGUCUUGAGUGAAGUAGAGGCAGACGGAAUUCCUAGUGUAGCGGUGAAAUGCGUAGAUAUUAGGAGGAACACCAGUGGCGAAGGCGGUCUGCUGGGCUUUAACUGACGCUGAGGCUCGAAAGCGUGGGUAGCAAACAGGAUUAGAUACCCUGGUAGU
RNAcentral lists this ribosomal RNA (425 nucleotides) under uncultured Anaerotruncus sp. RNAcentral describes it as "bacterial SSU rRNA". It matches the Rfam family "Bacterial small subunit ribosomal RNA", at positions 355 to 794 of the family's 1533-position model. Lineage: Bacteria; Bacillati; Bacillota; Clostridia; Eubacteriales; Oscillospiraceae. The record is from RNAcentral.